This 457-nucleotide ribosomal RNA is filed under the name uncultured Desulfobulbus sp. RNAcentral describes it as "bacterial SSU rRNA". It matches the Rfam family "Bacterial small subunit ribosomal RNA", at positions 929 to 1382 of the family's 1533-position model. Lineage: Bacteria; Pseudomonadati; Thermodesulfobacteriota; Desulfobulbia; Desulfobulbales; Desulfobulbaceae. The record is from RNAcentral.
GCGGUGGAGUAUGUGGUUUAAUUCGAUGCAACGCGAAGAACCUUACCUGGUCUUGACAUCCCGGAGACCCUUAGGAAACUAGGGGUGCUUCCAUCUGGAAGAAUCUGGAGACAGGUGCUGCAUGGCUGUCGUCAGCUCGUGUCGUGAGAUGUUGGGUUAAGUCCCGCAACGAGCGCAACCCUUGCCUUUAGUUGCCAGCAGUUCGGCUGGGCACUCUAAAGGGACUGCCGGUGUUAACCGGAGGAAGGUGGGGAUGACGUCAAGUCCUCAUGGCCUUUAUGACCAGGGCUACACACGUACUACAAUGGCCGAUACAAAGGGCAGCGACACUGCGAGGUGAAGCCAAUCCCGUAAAAUCGGUCUCAGUCCGGAUUGGAGUCUGCAACUCGACUCCAUGAAGUUGGAAUCGCUAGUAAUCGUGGAUCAGCAUGCCACGGUGAAUACGUUCCCGGGCCUU